CCUGUGUGUUCUCGGUGACCUGGAGGGGACCUAGCCAAGUCUCUCCUUAGCAGUUACCAAGCUAUUCUGUCUCUCAUACCAUGGUGCUCUGGGAGGAGAGGGCAGCUCUUGGAGGACGCUAGUCGUGAGGAAGCCUCUUGCACAACCACAACUCACUUGACUACUCCGAUCCCAAAUUCUGCUGUUUUUAAAAUAGGCAGUAGACUGGCAGCUGGGACGUGUGAGAGCAGAGGAGGGAUUGUUUUCAGGAUGAGGACGUGUGAGGAAGGAAGAAGAGACUGAGGAUGCAGAUAGAAUGGAAGAAAAUGACAGGCAAUUAAACGUCUGUAGAUGAGUGGAUACAGCUUUAGAGAUUGAAGGUCGCCUGCUGGGUGGAGUGAUGGAAGGAAACACCACAUUCACAUACGCCAGGAUUACAAAUCCAACCAUACACUCCUCCUCCCUUGCCCCAUGUUAAAUUUGCAUUUAAUACACAUUUUUAGCCUCUCCAUGUGUAAACUUUCACACAGCUCUGUACUAUACCUUUAUGGCCUCAUCCACUGUUUCCAUCUCCCAGAACCUCUGGUCUGGUUUUGGGGGAGAAAGCCUAUAAAAUAAAACUUGUGCAAUCAUACAAA
Molecule: long non-coding RNA, 617 nt
Organism: Tyto alba (common barn owl)
Lineage: Eukaryota; Metazoa; Chordata; Aves; Strigiformes; Tytonidae
Exons: 3
Source: RefSeq, a predicted model, not a curated record